Molecule: ribosomal RNA, 472 nt
Filed under: uncultured bacterium
Lineage: Bacteria
Description: bacterial SSU rRNA
Rfam family: Bacterial small subunit ribosomal RNA
Source: RNAcentral
UGGGGAAUUUUGGACAAUGGGCGCAAGCCUGAUCCAGCCAUGCCGCGUGAGUGAAGAAGGCCUUCGGGUUGUAAAGCUCUUUCGGUGAAGACGAAACGGUUAGUGCUAAUAACGCUGACUAAUGACGGUACUCACAGAAGAAGCACCGGCUAACUACGUGCCAGCAGCCGCGGUAAUACGUAGGGUGCAGGCGUUAAUCGGAAUUACUGGGCGUAAAGCGUGCGCAGGCGGUUUGUUAAGACAGGUGUGAAAUCCCCGGGCUUAACCUGGGAAUUGCGCUUGUAACUGGCAGGCUAGAGUGUGGCAGAGGGGGGUGGAAUUCCACGUGUAGCAGUGAAAUGCGUAGAUAUGUGGAGGAACACCGAUGGCGAAGGCAGCCCCCUGGGUUAACACUGACGCUCAUGCACGAAAGCGUGGGGAGCAAACAGGAUUAGAUACCCCAGUAGUCCCUGAGCGGGCUGGCAAGGCGCAU